RNAcentral lists this long non-coding RNA (1808 nucleotides) under Homo sapiens (human). RNAcentral describes it as "non-protein coding THUMPD3-AS1:49". The record is from RNAcentral. Lineage: Eukaryota; Metazoa; Chordata; Mammalia; Primates; Hominidae.
GGAAGCCGCCGGGGCCGCCUAGAGAAGAGGCUGUGCUUCGGCGCUCCGGCUCCUCAGAGAGCCUCGGCUAGGUGUGGAAACAGGAAGAGAACUAGAACUGGAAGUAAAGCAUUGAAGAUGUGACUGAAUUGCUGCAAUCUCAUGAUCAAAUUUGAAUGGAUGAGGAGUUGCUUUUUAGGGAUGAGCAAAGAAAGUUGCUCCUUGAGGGCAGGACAGUUCUUAUGGCUUUAUCCGUUGCGUAAGCACAGAGAGGUCUGCGAGGUCAAAACUAUUGUCAUGAUAGCAAGAUGCCUGUCUUUUUCAUUUAUUCUCACGGUGUGCAGAGGCUACAUGAUGUGUGAUGACAUCCUCAUUGAUGUUAAUGAAUGGUGCUAUACUUGAAUUUUCUAAGGUGUCAUUAGGUAGGUUUAGGUAUGCAUACUUGUUUUUAGAAAUUAUUUUUUUCCUUUUUCCCAUUUUUAGAAAUCAACUCAUUUUUUAGGUUAUGCCUUCAGUAAUCUUUGCAACCUCAAUAUUGUGUAAUGGUUACUUUAAAAUACUGUAGUUUUCUUUGUGCCUAAGUAUAAACAUAAGUACAUUUUGUUGUUUUGUUUGCAAUAGUGGUUUAAAUAUUUUCCCAAAAUAUCCAAAUUUAAAAAUUCUACAACUUUAGAAUUUAAUAAAUUUAUUCUAAAAUAUUUAUAUAUUUUUUCAUUUAAGAAUGGAUCGGCUUAAAAAGACUGCUUCUCAUUUACUUACUGGCUAUACCAUCUGUAUACUAAUAAAAAACAAGAUUUGAUUUGGAAGGACUGACUCAAACUAACGAAAAUAUGAAACCUGUCUUUCUGCUUUGGAGAUAUUUACCUAAUCAUGUUCUGCAGUAGAAUAAUUUAGUUCUUUUGUCUUUUUUUGGAGAUGAGGUCUUGCUGUGUUGCCCAGGCUAUUCACAGCUGCCAUCAUAGUGAACUACAGCCUGAAACUCCUGGGUUCAAGAGAUCCUUCUGCCUCAGCCUCCUGAGUAGCUGGAACUAUAGGCAUGCGCCACCAAGCCUGGGCUUUUAAAAAAAUUUUAAAAAGAAUUUUGAGACAGGAUCUUGCCAUGUUGCUCAGGCUAGUCUUCAACUCCUAGCCCUGAGUGAUCUUGCUUUGGGCCUCUCAAAAUGUUGAGUUAAUAGGCGUGAGCCACCAUACCCAGCCAAAAAUUUUUUUAGAGAUGGGAAUGGAAUGAUCUUGAAUAGUGUUGGUGCCACCUAUGUUGUGGCAUCAUUUUGAAACCAAUCAUUCAGAGUGCUUUUUUUGGUAAGGCAUUAUUUUUUAAUGCAGGUAUGCCACUACUGGGAAAAAAAAAAAAACAGGUUUUAAAGCUAGAAAUGAAAAGCUACUUAAGUAUCUUAAAGGAUAAGUUACUUUAUUAUACACUAGAAACAUACACAAUAGCUGAAAAACUUAAAAAAUCUCACACUGCUGAAUGUCUCUGCUGGCUGAAGUGUAAGUAAAAGAUCAUAGUAGUGCCGCUGUUGAGUGAUAAAGCAACUUGUCAUUAAAGAUGUGUGUGCAGACAUGGAUUCUGAGUUAAUAUCUCAUCUGUAGAAGUAUAUAUUUGUCCCUUGCUUUGGGAUUGGUUUCUGGACAGCACUCCCCCACCCUUGCUGGCCAUUUGCCAAGGACACCAAAACCCAAGGAUGUUGAAUUCCCUUUUAUAAAAUGGCGCUGUAUCUGCAUACAACUUACACACAUCCUCCCAUAUACUUUAAAUCAUUUCCAGAUUUCUUAUACUUCAUACAAUGUGAAUGCUAUAUAAAUAGUUGUUACAUUGUGUACUUAUAUUU